RNAcentral lists this ribosomal RNA (433 nucleotides) under uncultured bacterium. Its description in RNAcentral is "partial 16S ribosomal RNA". It matches the Rfam family "Bacterial small subunit ribosomal RNA", at positions 341 to 792 of the family's 1533-position model. The record is from RNAcentral.
ACGGAGGCAGCAGUUGGGGAUAUUGCACAAUGGGGGAAACCCUGAUGCAGCGACGCCGCGUGAGCGAUGAAGUAUUUCGGUAUGUAAAGCUCUAUCAGCAGGGAAGAAAAUGACGGUACCUGACUAAGAAGCACCGGCUAAAUACGUGCCAGCAGCCGCGGUAAUACGUAUGGUGCAAGCGUAAUCCGGAUUUACUGGGUGUAAAGGGAGCGUAGACGGCAUGGCAAGCCAGAUGUGAAAUGCGGGGGCUCAACCCCUGAACUGCAUUUGGAACUGUCAAGCUAGAGUAUCGGAGAGGUAAGUGGAAUUCCUAGUGUAGCGGCGAAAUGCGUAGAUAUUAGGAGGAACACCAGUGGCGAAGGCGGCUUACUGGACGAUAACUGACGUUGAGGCUCGAAAGCGUGGGGAGCAAACAGGAUUAGAUACCCUGGUA